This 265-nucleotide long non-coding RNA is filed under the name Panax ginseng (ginseng). Its description in RNAcentral is "long non-coding RNA (PGIN_LNC013716)". Lineage: Eukaryota; Viridiplantae; Streptophyta; Magnoliopsida; Apiales; Araliaceae. The record is from RNAcentral.
GAAACAAUACUGCAGUAUUGAGUAUCUCGAAAGUAUAUUGAAGAUUGUUUGAUAAAUUAGCAUUUUGGUUUUUAAAUUUGACUUCUUUCAUUUGUGUGAAAUACCAAUUGUGACAAUCUUAGUGAAACAUAGGAAGUAAUAGUUUGAACCUUCAGCCUUGUUCUUGUUAUUUUAUACAUUAUGAUUUGGGUCUAUGAUUUUUUUUUGGGUGUAUUAUCUACUGCAUUACUUAAAUUGUCUCUCGAUCAAGAAAUGUAAAGAAAAG